AUAUAUAUACUAGAUAAGGCCCGC
This 24-nucleotide non-coding RNA is filed under the name Arabidopsis thaliana (thale cress). The record is from RNAcentral. Lineage: Eukaryota; Viridiplantae; Streptophyta; Magnoliopsida; Brassicales; Brassicaceae.